GGGAAGUACGCUCGCAAGAGUGAAACUCAAAGGAAUGGACGGGGACCCGAACAAGUAGCGGAGCAUGUGGUUUAAUUCGAAGCAACGCGAAGAACCUUACCUAAGCUUGACAUCCCAAUGACAUCUCCUUAAUCGG
Molecule: ribosomal RNA, 136 nt
Filed under: Clostridioides difficile
Lineage: Bacteria; Bacillati; Bacillota; Clostridia; Peptostreptococcales; Peptostreptococcaceae
Description: partial 16S ribosomal RNA
Rfam family: Bacterial small subunit ribosomal RNA
Source: RNAcentral